Salvelinus sp. IW2-2015 is the source of this 389-nucleotide non-coding RNA. Lineage: Eukaryota; Metazoa; Chordata; Actinopteri; Salmoniformes; Salmonidae. The record is from RefSeq and is a predicted model, not a curated record.
UCAAUUCCCAAAGCCGGACGCAACCAGCCAUCUACCGACACUAAUGCUGGUGACCCUGAUUCUCAGGAGGGGUCAAAGGUCAAACCAGGUGGAUAUGACCCUGUCAAAGUGGUCCUGGUGACACUCUGUGUUCUUCUGAUGGGUGCUGUCAUUGGACUUGUGUUCCUGUAUAUCAGCAACCUGCCAACCAAAAACACAGAGCUCCAAAUUCUGCAAGCGGCUUACYAUCAAAAUCUUACAUCAGCUUUAAUGAUCAAAAACAGAGAGCUUCAAGAACUGCAAGACAAGAUCAAAGAUCUUCAGAAGGAACGUGCAGGUGAGUGACACACAGAUAUGACCCUCCAAUUAAAUUGUAUUGUCUGCCACUAAUACAGCCUUUCCAUUGAAUC